Molecule: ribosomal RNA, 429 nt
Filed under: Gemmatimonadota bacterium
Lineage: Bacteria; Pseudomonadati; Gemmatimonadota
Description: Gemmatimonadetes bacterium partial 16S ribosomal RNA
Rfam family: Bacterial small subunit ribosomal RNA
Source: RNAcentral
UAGGGAAUCUUCGGCAAUGGACGAAAGUCUGACCGAGCAACGCCGCGUGAGUGAAGAAGGUUUUCGGAUCGUAAAACUCUGUUGUUAGAGAAGAACAAGGACGUUAGUAACUGAACGUCCCCUGACGGUAUCUAACCAGAAAGCCACGGCUAACUACGUGCCAGCAGCCGCGGUAAUACGUAGGUGGCAAGCGUUGUCCGGAUUUAUUGGGCGUAAAGCGAGCGCAGGCGGUUUCUUAAGUCUGAUGUGAAAGCCCCCGGCUCAACCGGGGAGGGUCAUUGGAAACUGGGAGACUUGAGUGCAGAAGGGGAGAGUGGAAUUCCAUGUGUAGCGGUGAAAUGCGUAGAUAUAUGGAGAAACACCAGUGGCGAAGGCGGCUCUCUGGUCUGUAACUGACGCUGAGGCUCGAAAGCGUGGUGAGCAAACAGG